Molecule: ribosomal RNA, 421 nt
Filed under: uncultured bacterium
Lineage: Bacteria
Description: bacterial SSU rRNA
Rfam family: Bacterial small subunit ribosomal RNA
Source: RNAcentral
UAAGGAAUAUUGGUCAAUGGACGCAAGUCUGAACCAGCCAUGCCGCGUGAAGGAUGAAGGUCCUCUGGAUUGUAAACUUCUUUUAUCUGGGACGAAAACGGGAUUUUUAUCUCAAUUGACGGUACCAGAGGAAUAAGCACCGGCUAACUCCGUGCCAGCAGCCGCGGUAAUACGGAGGGUGCGAGCGUUAUCCGGAUUUACUGGGUUUAAAGGGUGCGUAGGUGGGCUUAUAAGUCAGUGGUGAAAUCUUCCGGCUUAACCGGGAAACUGCCGUUGAUACUAUUUGUCUUGAAUAUUGCGGAGGUAAGCGGAAUAUGUCAUGUAGCGGUGAAAUGCUUAGAUAUGACAUAGAACACCAAUUGCGAAGGCAGCUUACUACACAAUCAUUGACACUGAGGCACGAAAGCGUGGGUAGCGAACA